CCCCAGGUACAUCUACCGCCUCUGCCCCUUCAAACGUGUCUCCCAGAAACCCAAACACGGCGGCGCUGAGACCAACCUGGGGACAUGGGGCGCCUGGGCCGGCCCCGAGCAUGAUCGCUUCAGCGCCAUGAAGUAUGAGCACGGGACGGGCUGCUGGCAGGGCCCCAACCGGGCCACCACGGUGAAGCUGUCCUGCGGGACGGAGACGGCGGUGACGGCCACCACGGAGCCCAGCCGCUGCGAGUACCUGAUGGAGCUGGUGACGCCCGCGGCGUGUCGCACGCCCCCCUCGCACGAGGACCACGACGAGCUCUGACCCCGGGUACCGCCGUCCACACGCACACCUCCCCUCCCCCGCCUCGCACGAGGGGACACCCGCCUCGCACGGGGAACCCCCCAGCUCGCACGAGGACUCCCCUCACAUGGCCGCAGUGUCCUGGCUGUGUGCCUGUUUCCCCGGUGGGGGGGGGAACCAUUCCCUCAGGGGGACAAUCCCUGCUGAUCUUGUCCCCGGCGGGGUGGGGGGGGCUGAGAGCAUGGUCCCUGCCUCAGUUUCCCUCACCCACAGCCCAGUGGGAGCUGCCAGGACCUCAAGGGACCACAACCCCCCUGCCAGGACCUUUAUGGGGGGGCACACAGGAUAACACUG
Long non-coding RNA from Haliaeetus leucocephalus (bald eagle), 649 nucleotides. RefSeq lists it as uncharacterized. The transcript is spliced from 3 exons. NCBI's taxonomy places the organism in Eukaryota, Metazoa, Chordata, Aves, Accipitriformes, Accipitridae. The record is from RefSeq and is a predicted model, not a curated record.